Molecule: ribosomal RNA, 253 nt
Filed under: uncultured bacterium
Lineage: Bacteria
Description: partial 16S ribosomal RNA
Rfam family: Bacterial small subunit ribosomal RNA
Source: RNAcentral
UACAGGGGGGGCAAGCGUUGUUCGGAAUUACUGGGCGUAAAGGGCUCGUAGGUGGCCAACUAAGUCAGACGUGAAAUCCCUCAGCUUAACUGGGGAACUGCGUCCGAUACUGGAUGGCUUGAGUUUGGGAGAGGGAUGCGGAAUUCCAGGUGUAGCGGUGAAAUGCGUAGAUAUCUGGAGGAACACCGGUGGCGAAGGCGGCAUCCUGGACCGACAUUGACGCUGAGGAGCGAAAGCUAGGGGAGCAAACGGG